RNAcentral lists this ribosomal RNA (253 nucleotides) under uncultured bacterium. Its description in RNAcentral is "partial 16S ribosomal RNA". It matches the Rfam family "Bacterial small subunit ribosomal RNA", at positions 524 to 776 of the family's 1533-position model. The record is from RNAcentral.
GACGGGGGAUGCAAGCGUUAUCCGGAAUCACUGGGCGUAAAGCGUCUGUAGGUGGUGAUGCAAGUCACUGGUGCAAAACUCUGGCUCAACCGGAGGAAAGCCAGUGAAACUGCAUGACUAGAGUGUGGGAGAGGUAGAAGGAAUUCCCUGAGUAGCGGUGAAAGGCGUAGAUACAGGGAAGAACACCGGAGGCGAAAGCGUUCUGCUGGAACACAACUGACACUGAGAGACGAAAGCUAGGGGCGCGAAUGGG